UACGGAGGGGGCUAGCGUUGCUCGGAAUGACUGGGCGUAAAGGGCGCGUAGGCGGCUGACAUAGUUAGGCGUGAAAUUCCUGGGCUCAACCUGGGGACUGCGUCUAAUACAUGUAGGCUUGAGUGUGGAAGAGGGUAGCGGAAUUUCCAGUGUAGAGGUGAAAUUCGUAGAUAUUGGAAAGAACACCGGUGGCGAAGGCGGCGACCUGGUUCAUUACUGACGCUGAGGCGCGAAAGCGUGGGGAGCAAACAGG
RNAcentral lists this ribosomal RNA (253 nucleotides) under uncultured bacterium. RNAcentral's name for it is "partial 16S ribosomal RNA". It matches the Rfam family "Bacterial small subunit ribosomal RNA", at positions 524 to 776 of the family's 1533-position model. The record is from RNAcentral.